GCCGCGUCCAAGGUCACAUGCGAGUACGAUGUUCAUCUAUUUCUUUUUCACCUGGGUGCCUGGCACGACAUGACCGUUUCCUCGAAACGCAACAGUGGCCCUAUACGUACAGAUGUGGGACAUAGCUUCGUUUCCGUGGUACGCUGGAUCAGUUUGU
Molecule: long non-coding RNA, 157 nt
Organism: Ornithodoros turicata
Lineage: Eukaryota; Metazoa; Arthropoda; Arachnida; Ixodida; Argasidae
Exons: 3
Source: RefSeq, a predicted model, not a curated record